Molecule: non-coding RNA, 120 nt
Organism: Cicer arietinum (chickpea)
Lineage: Eukaryota; Viridiplantae; Streptophyta; Magnoliopsida; Fabales; Fabaceae
Source: Rfam
AGCCUUAUGGUGAGUACAAAGCAAAUUAUUAUUUCACCUUUUACUAAAGAAUACCGUGUGUUUCGCCAUAUUAAAAGACACAUGUUAAUUUUUUGAAGGGUUUUUCUUUAUAGAAGAAGU